UACGUAGGCAGCGAGCGUUGUUCGGAGUUACUGGGCGUAAAGCGUGCGUAGGCGGUGGUCCAAGUCUGGUGUGAAAUCUCCCGGCUCAACUGGGAGGGUGCGCCGGAAACUGGGCCGCUGGAGUACGGGAGAGGCAAGCGGAAUUCCAGGUGUAGCGGUGAAAUGCGUAGAUAUCUGGAGGAACACCGGUGGCGAAGGCGGCAUCCUGGACCGACACUGACGCUGAGGAGCGAAAGCCAGGGGAGCAAGCGGG
Molecule: ribosomal RNA, 253 nt
Filed under: uncultured bacterium
Lineage: Bacteria
Description: partial 16S ribosomal RNA
Rfam family: Bacterial small subunit ribosomal RNA
Source: RNAcentral